GUAACUGUACGUUAUCGCCAGAAUGCAUUGUUGUUUUUGAAUGGGAAACAUGCUUUUUGGCACCGCCAGUCACUGAAUGGUGGUGUGUUUCCAGCAGGGUUUCGUUAACAGCUGCAGCACGUCUUUCGAAAGGCGACAGUCACGUGACUUGGCGUCAUACAUUCGGCGUCGCACAGCAGCUCAGUCGCUUGUUUUAUUUCUUCUUAUAUAUUUUUUUCAAACCGCAGUUGAUCAAUGCUCUUAAAAUUGUGGUAUCAUCGUUAGAAAAUCUGUAUCGAGGAAUUUGACUGAUUUACAUCCACACAUCUGCAUCUGGGAGGCUCUGGAAUUAAAUAGUCAUGACUGAGCGAGUGUUUGUGUUUGUUGAUGAAGAGGAGCUUUUCAGCGUGAUGAAGGAUCUUGACUGUCUGUACUGUAGGAACCCAGUGACUGCAUCUAAACAUCACCUCAAAAAGAGACAUCUCCGAUUCGCUGUGUAUUAUAAAGACUCUGGCAUUGGUAAUUGACCAGUAACCAUUUCUACAACACACAUCUUGCAGAGAGGUAGUAUUUUACACCCGUUCUCAACUCAAAUGCUGUCUGCUCUUUCUGACAGGGAAGUUUUCUAUCCCCUGUUAUUGUUCUGAUGGAGGCCAUGGCAGGAGCCACUGGCAUUGCCCAAUGUGCUCAAAAAUAUUGCAAAGGACAAAGGAUUACAAAAUCCAUAUUACCAACCACGGUGUUGAGAUGACUGACAAAUCCACAGUUGAGCUACAACCUACAACAGUCCUGUUGGAGAGCCAACAAACAGACAACGAAGACAAGACUCUGGGCAACAAGUCAGCGUGCCAAAAGUGUGGCAUCUUCUUCACCACCACAUCAAAUUUGAGACGGCACGAGAGACUACAGCACAGCCAGAACCAGCAGCCCAUGUUAUGCAUAGAUGCCAAAAAUGCCAUCUAUGUUACACCUAAGGAUCUGCACGGACCUAGAGUGCCCAUUCAUAUCCGCAAAUCCUUCGCCUUACAGAUACUGCUGUGUGAGCUGGAGGAAUGCUGGGAUUUCAUGAAAGCACAGGCCCAGAGCGGGAAUCCUGGUAAAGAGUGCCGUCACCUCGUGAGAACUAAUCACGCGCAGCACUACGUUCCCCCUCCACCGCUGUGUGUCAGCUCUCUGGAGGAGAUGACCGACAAACACCUCCUGUCCAUAUCGGAGAAACAAGAGUGCCAGGAGAUGAACUCCAGGGCAUGUUUAGAGGGAGCCGAUUGUGUGUACCCUAUUUUUUGGGGGGAGCAUGACCUUCCAGAGAGAUGUGUCUACUUUUCUGUGUACACAGACCUCAAGGACAAAUGGUGUCAGUUUGGGAGGACACGCGUCUCGUUUGACACCAAGUCUGGCAGCUGGAAGUGUCUAUGUGAACACAAAAGAAACCGUUGCGUCCACAAGCAUUUAUCUAUGUGGUGGUUGUUUCAGGAGCAUCCCAGAUUGUUGCAAAAUGCCCUAGAUAUCAACGCUGAAAGAGUCGACGUGGUCAUGGAUGAAGAGGUUAAAAUGUGUCCUGAGGGUGACAACCUCUGCUAGCCUCGACAUCCAUCAGAACUGCACUCUCGUGUUCUGUCUUCACUCAAUAAAAACACUUGCCAUACACUUUAUUUUGCCUUGUAGUUUGUUAACAGUUGGUUUGCAAAAAUUCAUGUGCUGUGCUGUGCUAUGUUUAGUGUUGUGGG
Molecule: long non-coding RNA, 1706 nt
Filed under: Sinocyclocheilus anshuiensis
Lineage: Eukaryota; Metazoa; Chordata; Actinopteri; Cypriniformes; Cyprinidae
Description: lncRNA (ENSSANG00000043795.1)
Source: RNAcentral